This 210-nucleotide non-coding RNA is filed under the name unclassified sequences. Its description in RNAcentral is "raiA RNA". It matches the Rfam family "raiA RNA". The record is from Rfam by way of RNAcentral.
AUGACAUGUGCUGUGGUUGAAAAGUCGAUGUCAGUCGCAGACCAAGCGAUCCACGUAAGGCAUCCAAAGCGAUGCUGAUCAUAGUGCGGCCUAGAAGUAAGACCUGACCGCGUAAAAAACGCGAGAGGGCCAGUAGUGGGGGACAAGACGUCUAUGAGCGAACGUCCCAGCAGGCGAGUGUGGGGGUAAAGACCAGGUCAGGCAUGUCGG